RNAcentral lists this small nucleolar RNA (131 nucleotides) under Gouania willdenowi (blunt-snouted clingfish). RNAcentral describes it as "Small nucleolar RNA SNORA3/SNORA45 family (ENSGWIG00000009351.1)". It matches the Rfam family "Small nucleolar RNA SNORA3/SNORA45 family". Rfam says of the family: The members of this family belong to the H/ACA class of snoRNAs which are thought to guide the sites of modification of uridines to pseudouridines. This family includes mouse snoMBI-28 and human homologues ACA3 (SNORA3) and ACA3-2 (SNORA45). The record is from Rfam by way of RNAcentral. Lineage: Eukaryota; Metazoa; Chordata; Actinopteri; Blenniiformes; Gobiesocidae.
GUAGAGACUAGAGUCUCACCUUGACAUGCAUUGUUGUCUUGGUGUGCUAGAGUACUCUUAGAGAAACUACUGGUCCUAUUCACCGACUGGCCUCACUCAUUGUCCAGUCAGCCACAUGGGCAGUUACAAGU